CGACACUCCAGUCUAGUGUCUUCAUCAGGGGUGAUAAAGACACCCCUGAUGAAGACACUAGACUGGAGUGUCG
Non-coding RNA from Paramuricea clavata, 73 nucleotides. NCBI's taxonomy places the organism in Eukaryota, Metazoa, Cnidaria, Anthozoa, Malacalcyonacea, Plexauridae. The record is from the annotation of a GenBank genome assembly.